RNAcentral lists this ribosomal RNA (545 nucleotides) under uncultured bacterium. RNAcentral's name for it is "partial 16S ribosomal RNA". It matches the Rfam family "Bacterial small subunit ribosomal RNA", at positions 355 to 888 of the family's 1533-position model. The record is from RNAcentral.
UGGGGAAUUUUGGACAAUGGGGGCAACCCUGAUCCAGCAAUGCCGCGUGUGUGAAGAAGGCCUUCGGGUUGUAAAGCACUUUUGUCCGGAAAGAAAACGCCGUGGUUAAUACCCGUGGCGGAUGACGGUACCGGAAGAAUAAGCACCGGCUAACUACGUGCCAGCAGCCGCGGUAAUACGUAGGGUGCAAGCGUUAAUCGGAAUUACUGGGCGUAAAGCGUGCGCAGGCGGUCCGCUAAGACAGAUGUGAAAUCCCCGGGCUUAACCUGGGAACUGCAUUUGUGACUGGCGGGCUAGAGUAUGGCAGAGGGGGGUAGAAUUCCACGUGUAGCAGUGAAAAUGCGUAGAGAUGUGGAGGAAUACCGAUGGCGAAGGCAGCCCCCUGGGCCAAUACUGACGCUCAUGCACGAAAGGCGUGGGGGAGCAAAACAGGAUUCAGAUACCCUGGUAGUCCACGCCCUAAACGAUGUCAACUAGUUGUUGGGGAUUCAUUUCCUUAGUAACGUAGCUAACGCGUGAAGUUGACCGCCUGGGGAGUACGGUCG